GAGUUUUGAGUAUUCUCUCUUGUUCUUUAUUCUCUUAGUCUCUCUUAAUCUCCUAAUCUCAUACAAACUACACAAAUCAUCUCUUGGUAUCAGAGCCAGGUUGCGCAAAGGGGAGAGGGUGUUUGAUUAUGAUUUUCGAAAUCUGAGUUUCUUGAGGUGUUCUUGGUGUUCUUGAUGUGUUCUUGGUGUUUUUUGGUGUGCCUGAGAUCGAAUUGAGUCUGUGGAGAGUUUCUGAUGGAUUCAAACGAGUUAAGCAUGGUGGAGGAGACAAGA
This 273-nucleotide long non-coding RNA is filed under the name Brassica napus (rape). RNAcentral describes it as "long non-coding RNA (BNAP_LNC018904)". The record is from RNAcentral. Lineage: Eukaryota; Viridiplantae; Streptophyta; Magnoliopsida; Brassicales; Brassicaceae.